GCGGCAUGGAAACCCGACGCAGAGGUUUUAGAUCGAAUGCUCUAGAUGAAAGAGUGAUUAGUGUUGCUGCGUACGAGAAAGUGUGAGUGAUGUGAAUGAUGAACCCUAAUCUCUUGUCGCCCUUCAUCUUUCGCAGCUAUCGUUCAUCUCGUCAUUGUUUCUCAUCCCUCACACCACCAAAUUAGAUCUGCCAAAAUUUUUGAUGGCCUCUUUGAUUGGGAAUUCAUCGUGAAAUGGUUUUGCACUUUGAUUUUUCUGCUUCUUUUCUUCCUUCUUAAUACCUUUCAUUGAUUGUAAUUAUGCAGAUUUUGAUUUUCAAUUUUGCAGUUUAUCUCCUUUUGUUUUUCAGCAAAUCAUUGAUUAAACAAUCAAGGAAUCGGAUCAAUGUGAUAAGGAGAAAGAGAAAUUCAGCAAAGAAGUUUCUUAAGCGAGACACCAUUGAUCUGCUUGCAAAUCAUUUACAGUAUUUGAUAUUCAGGGUCUAAUGUAAGCAACUAUCAGAGAAAUAAAUCUGAGGCAGAGGAUCAACCUGAUUAUUAUUUAGGGUCCAAUGUUCAGGAAGAUCUAAACCAUCAAAUCUGCAAAAGCCAGUGUAAGACUGACAAAAGAGCAGGUAGUAAGAAACAAGACGCCGAGAAACCCAAAAGGGAGCAUGUUGUUGCAGCUGAGCAUUGCCAAUAUGCAAAUCCUUUUGACUUUAAAGAAGGAUUUUUACUUGGUGAUUAAUAUGAAUGAAGGCAAGGAAGCUUCUAAAUGAGAGUAUAGGGAGGUUAAUAAAAAGAAAAGAAAGUGGAGAGCUUGGUGGAGGGUUAUUGGGAGAAUUGCUGGAAGCGAAAGGAAAAUACCAACUCUCUGAUUCUCAGGUAAUCCAAGAAACGUUGAGAAGUGCAAGCAUACGACAGUCAUUCACAUUCAGAGAAGUAGUGGAAGAUGUGGAGCUUCAAGAUUACUACAUUCUCGAAGGCUGGAAUGUAUAGGUCUGCACAGAGAAUUUCUUGUUCAUUUUGGGCCGAGAGUUGUAGCCUGUGGAGCAAAAGACGAAUGGGGUUCAGAAGAGAUUGUUUUCUGGGUGAAUCUUGCUCAGAGGCUACUACAGCAAGUUAUUGAUAAGGAGAAAAUCUGGUCAAGACUGACAACUUCCAAAAGUU
Molecule: long non-coding RNA, 1148 nt
Organism: Arachis duranensis
Lineage: Eukaryota; Viridiplantae; Streptophyta; Magnoliopsida; Fabales; Fabaceae
Exons: 5
Source: RefSeq, a predicted model, not a curated record